This is a long non-coding RNA of Armigeres subalbatus, 491 nucleotides long. RefSeq lists it as uncharacterized. NCBI's taxonomy places the organism in Eukaryota, Metazoa, Arthropoda, Insecta, Diptera, Culicidae. The transcript has 3 exons. The record is from RefSeq and is a predicted model, not a curated record.
CUAUAAAUGACCCAUAACUGAUAUAUCAACCAUAUGAAAUAUGUCUAUUAAAUAAUUAUGUAUCUUCUAAAUCUAGUCUAGUUUCCUUGCCGUGUGGAAUCGAAAUUAAGAAUUAUAUCUUCCAAUGAUAAAAACAUUAUAAACGUAAAAGUUCUGCAAUGAUUUUCAACAGACCGCAGAAUUAUUUUCCCGUGUAGCUGCCAUUGGUUUUGUUUGUAAAAAUAAACAACUGGUUCGGUGAAACCAGAAUCACUUUUGUGCUUUUUCCAAUUAUAUCUUGUACUGUAAAUCAAGGUUCUCAACAGUUGUCUUGGCGGAAAAAUGUGGAAGCAAAGUCCGCUUAGCUGCAAAACAAUUUUAUUGAGGCGUGAUAUUGGUCAGAAUAAUAUUCUUUUGGAUGCAGCUUCCCGGACGCCCAAACAAAGACAAACUUACUAUCUUGCCCAUACAUUUUAUUUAAGGAAAACGAAACAUAUAUCGUACAAAUAAAU